AAUGGGGGCAACCCUGAUCCAGCCAUGCCGCGUGAGUGAUGAAGGCCUUAGGGUUGUAAAGCUCUUUCGCCCGCGAAGAUAAUGACUGUAGCGGGAGAAGAAGCCCCGGCUAACUUCGUGCCAGCAGCCGCGGUAAUACGAAGGGGGCUAGCGUUGUUCGGAAUCACUGGGCGUAAAGCGUACGUAGGCGGGCAAUUAAGUCAGGGGUGAAAGCCUUGAGCUCAACUCAAGAACUGCCUUUGAUACUGGUUGCCUGGAGUCCGGGAGAGGUGAGUGGAACUGCUAGUGUAGAGGUGAAAUUCGUAGAUAUUAGCAAGAACACCAGUGGCGAAGGCGGCUCACUGGCCCGGUACUGACGCUGAGGUACGAAAGCGUGGGGAGCAAA
This 385-nucleotide ribosomal RNA is filed under the name uncultured bacterium. Its description in RNAcentral is "bacterial SSU rRNA". It matches the Rfam family "Bacterial small subunit ribosomal RNA", at positions 370 to 772 of the family's 1533-position model. The record is from RNAcentral.